GGAACCCGGAGCUGGAAGAUCCGAAGUCUUCUGUGUUCCUUUCCCACAGAGGGAAGCCGGCGAUGAUGGAAAAACUCACCUGGAAAAUGAGGUCAUAGAGUUCUUUCAUAAAGCUCUCAUGAGGACCAAAUAAGAAGCCUGCGGGAGGGGUCAUUUUUGAGGAAUGGGGGAAGUGAAUGAUCUCAAACUACAGAAAUGGCAGUGAACUUGUCUGUUUCAAUUCGGGAGUGGGCUGCUUCCUGAUUGGCUGUGAUUGGGCUUUCACUGUGGU
RNAcentral lists this long non-coding RNA (271 nucleotides) under Pan troglodytes (chimpanzee). Its description in RNAcentral is "long non-coding RNA NONPTRT000150". Lineage: Eukaryota; Metazoa; Chordata; Mammalia; Primates; Hominidae. The record is from RNAcentral.